Molecule: ribosomal RNA, 484 nt
Filed under: uncultured bacterium
Lineage: Bacteria
Description: partial 16S ribosomal RNA
Rfam family: Bacterial small subunit ribosomal RNA
Source: RNAcentral
AUUGAACGCUGGCGGCAGGCCUAACACAUGCAAGUCGAGCGGAUGAAGGGAGCUUGCUCCUGGAUUCAGCGGCGGACGGGUGAGUAAUGCCUAGGAAUCUGCCUGGUAGUGGGGGAUAACGUCCGGAAACGGGCGCUAAUACCGCAUACGUCCUGAGGGAGAAAGUGGGAGAUCUUCGGACCUCACGCUAUCAGAUGAGCCUAGGUCGGAUUAGCUAGUUGGUGGGGUAAAGGCCUACCAAGGCGACGAUCCGUAACUGGUCUGAGAGGAUGAUCAGUCACACUGGAACUGAGACACGGUCCAGACUCCUACGGGAGGCAGAAGGGGGGAAUAUGGGACAAUGGGCGAAAGCCUGAUCCAGCCAUGCCGCGUGUGUGAAGAAGGUCUUCGGAUUGUAAAGCACUUUAAGUUGGGAGGAAGGGAAGUAAGUUAAUACCUUGCUGUUUUGACGUUACCAAAAGAAUAAGCACCGGCUAACUUCGUG